This is an unclassified non-coding RNA of Rhinopithecus bieti (black snub-nosed monkey), 106 nucleotides long. It matches the Rfam family "Y RNA". Rfam says of the family: Y RNAs are components of the Ro ribonucleoprotein particle (Ro RNP), in association with Ro60 and La proteins. The Y RNAs and Ro60 and La proteins are well conserved, but the function of the Ro RNP is not known. The record is from Ensembl. Lineage: Eukaryota; Metazoa; Chordata; Mammalia; Primates; Cercopithecidae.
GGCUGGUCCUUAGGUAGUGCGUUAUCAAUUGAUCAAAGUCAGUUACAGAUUGAACUCCUUGUUCUACUCUUUCCCCCUUCUCACUACUGCACUUGACUAGUCCAAA